Molecule: ribosomal RNA, 505 nt
Filed under: uncultured bacterium
Lineage: Bacteria
Description: bacterial SSU rRNA
Rfam family: Bacterial small subunit ribosomal RNA
Source: RNAcentral
UAGUCCACGCCGUAAACGAUGAGUGCUAGCUGUCGGGACCAUAGGUUUCGGUGGCGUCGCUAACGCAUUAAGCACUCCGCCUGGGGAGUACGGUCGCAAGAUUAAAACUCAAAGGAAUUGACGGGGACCCGCACAAGCGGUGGAGCAUGUGGUUUAAUUCGAGGCAACGCGAAGAACCUUACCAGCCCUUGACAUACUGGUCGCGGAUUUCAGAGAUGAUUUCCUUCAGCUUGGCUGGACCAUGUACAGGUGCUGCACGGCUGUCGUCAGCUCGUGUCGUGAGAUGUUGGGUUAAGUCCCGCAACGAGCGCAACCCUCAUCCUUAGUUGCUAACAUUUAGUUGAGAACUCUAAGGAAACUGCCGGUGAUAAACCGGAGGAAGGUGGGGAUGACGUCAAGUCUUCAUGGCCCUUAUGGGCUGGGCUACACACGUGCUACAAUGGCGGUGACAAUGGGCAGCGAACUCGCGAGAGUGAGCUAAUCCCCAAAAGCCGUCUCAGUUCGG